GAUGAACGCUAGCGGCAGGCUUAAUACAUGCAAGUCGAGGGGCAUCGCGGGUAGCAAUACCUGGCGGCGACCGGCAAACGGGUGCGGAACACGUACAGAACCUUCCUUUAAGUGGGGCAUAGCCCGGAGAAAUCCGGAUUAAUACCCCGUAAUAUUAUUGAGUGGCAUCAUUUGGUAAUUAAAGAUUUAUCGCUUAGAGAUGGCUGUGCGGCUGAUUAGGUAGUUGGUGUGGGUAACGGCCCACCAAGCCAUCGAUCAGUAACUGGUGUGAGAGCACGACCAGUCACACGGGCACUGAGACACAGGCCCGACUCCUACGGGAGGCAGCAGUAAGGAAUAUUGGUCAAUGGACGCAAGUCUGAACCAGCCAUGCCGCGU
Molecule: ribosomal RNA, 378 nt
Filed under: uncultured bacterium
Lineage: Bacteria
Description: bacterial SSU rRNA
Rfam family: Bacterial small subunit ribosomal RNA
Source: RNAcentral